RNAcentral lists this ribosomal RNA (1649 nucleotides) under Durio zibethinus. RNAcentral describes it as "SSU rRNA". It matches the Rfam family "Eukaryotic small subunit ribosomal RNA", at positions 216 to 1823 of the family's 1831-position model. The record is from RNAcentral. Lineage: Eukaryota; Viridiplantae; Streptophyta; Magnoliopsida; Malvales; Malvaceae.
UUGCGCAUGAUCCUAUAGCCAAGGCUCUCAUAGAGUAUGCCCAGCAAGGUAAGACUAGGCAGUUUUGGUUACAAGAUGGUUUGCUAUACACCAGGGGCAGUAGACUGUUUGUGCCGUAGCACGGGAAGCUCCGUAAGGAAGUUUUACAAGAAUGUCAUGAUUUAAGGUGGGCUAAACACCUAGGAGUGAGCCUACUGUGGUGAUGACAGGUAAUAAAGAAUUAGGGUUCAAUCCUAGAGGGAGCUUGAGAAAUGGCUACCAUAUCCAAGGAAAGAAGUAGUCACACAAAUUACCCAAUCCUAACACGAAAAGGUAGUGACAAUAAAUAAGACUAUCGGGCACUAUAAUUCUUGUAACUAGAAUGAGUACAACCUAAAUCUCUUAAUGAGUAUCCAUUUGAGGGCAAGUCUAGUGCCAACAAUCACAAUAAUUCUAGCUCUGAUAGUGUAUAUUUAAGUUGUUACAGUUAAAAAGCUCAUAGUUAGAACUAGGGUUAGGUCUUCCGAUCUACCUUAUGGUGAGCAUCAAUCUACUCAUCCCUACCAUCAGUAAUGCACUCCUAGCCUUAACUAUUCGGGUCAUUCCUCUAACGCUGUUACUUUGAAAAAAUUAGAGUGCUAAAAAUAGGCCUACCUUAUAUAGAUUAGCAUGGGAUAACAUCAUAGGAUUUCAAUCCUAUUGUGUUGGCCUUCGGGAUCAGAGUAAUGAUUAAUAGGGAUAGUUAACGGUAUUCAUAUUUCAUAGUCAGAGCUAAAAUUCUUGGAUUUAUGAAAGAUGAACAAUUGCAAAAGCAUUUGCCAAGUUGUUUCCAUUAAUCAAUAAUGAAAGUUGGGGCUUCGAAGACAAUUAGAUGCCAUCCUAGUCUCAAACAUAAAUGAUGCCAACCAAGGAUCGAUGGAUGUUGCUUUUAGGACUUCAUCAACACCUUAUGAGAAAUUAAAGUCUUUGGGUUCUAGGGGGAGUAUGGUCGCAAGGCUAAAACUUAAAGGAAUUGAGGGAAAUGCACCACCAGGAGUAAAGCUUAUGGCUUAAUUUGACUUAACACAAAGAAAUUUACCAAUUCUAAACAUAGUAAGGAUUGAUAGACUAAGAGCUCUUUCUUGAUUCUAUAGGUGGUGGUGCAUGGUUGUUCUUAGUUGGUGGAGUGAUUUUUUUGGUUAAUUUUGUUAACAAAUGAGACCUCAGCGUGCUAACUAGCUAUACGAAGGUGAUCCUUCCUGGCUAGCUUCUUAAAGGGACUAUGGCUGCUUAGGUCAAGGAAGUUAGAGGUAAUAAUAGGUAUGUAUGUAAUACCCUUAGAUGUUCUAGGCCACACGCAUGCUACAUUGAUGUAGUUAACAAGUCGAUAGCUUUGGCUGAUAGGCUUGGGUUAUCUUUGAAAUUUCAUUAUGAUAGGGAUAGAUCAUUCAAAUUGUUGGUCUUCAACAAGGAAUUCCUAGUAAGUGUGAGUCAUCUGCUUGCUUUGAUUAUGUUCCUACACUUUGUACAUUCUACCUAUUGCUCUUAUUGAUUGAAUGGUCUAGAAAAGUGUUCGGAUCAUGACAAAGUAGAUGUGUCACUUCCUAUAACAUCAUGAGAAGUCCAUUAAACCUUAUCAUUUAGAGGAAGAAGAAGUCAUAACAAGCUUUUCGAAGGUGAACCUGCUAAAG